Molecule: long non-coding RNA, 1449 nt
Filed under: Anas platyrhynchos platyrhynchos (common mallard)
Lineage: Eukaryota; Metazoa; Chordata; Aves; Anseriformes; Anatidae
Description: lncRNA (ENSAPLG00000030051.1)
Source: RNAcentral
AUGCAAACCUGCAAUUUACAAGCAACUGCCAGUGCAAUUUCUAUGCUUAAAUUUGAAAGCAUAGCCAGAGAUUAUUUUUCCAUCCAAACAGUUUAUAUCUUAGCAGUAGUUCAGCAAAACAGGGUUGUUUUCAGAAGUCAGAUGUUGGAUUUUAAUGGUGCCCAGGGAAUGCUCCUACUUGCAGGUACCACCUGCAGCUUCUCUGCCGUAAGGAAACCCGGUGAACCUUCCAAAAGGCCAGCUCCCCCCUUCCCAUGCCCACCCGUUCCCUCCAUUUCGCCCCCAGCCCCGCAGCCUCAGGGAGGAAGAUGGACAAGCCUCGGGAAGCGAGCAGCCCCCGGCUGUGCAGCUGAACCACAGCAACGCCAUGGAAAAGCAAGAAUAAAUAAGGCUGCUGCAACUCCGGCAGAUAAACAAGUGCAAGGGCUGCAGAAACACCAGGCUGCAGCUGCAGAGCCCUUGGGCCGUGGGGAAAGCAGAGGGGGGGGCCCGGGGGUCGCUCCUCGCUGCCUGCGGGGCGCAUCUGGGGGCAUCCCGCAGCCCCCCGGCACCCCGCAGCCCCCCGCAGCCCCCCCAGCCCCAUCCCGCCGGGUGCUGCCGGGGACCGGCCCGACCCCCCCCCGGCCCCCCGGAGCCACCCCCGGCCCCGGAGCCCCCCGGUCCCCCCUCACCUGCGCUCGGUGCCCGGCGCCGCCCGGCUGCCGGGGCCGUGACUCAGCAGCCGCGGCCCGGAGCUCGCCGAGGCGCCCCGGGGAGGAGCUGGCUGCGCCCCGUGCCGCCGCUCCGCCGGGUAUUUGGGGUGUUUGGGGUAUUUGGGGUGUUUGGGGUCCCUGCCGGGGUGUGUGCGCUCAGCCCUGCCCGGCCGCCCGCCGUCGGGCAGCGGGAUGCUGCGGGGGCGCUGGGGAGAAGGAGCGCAGCUCCUCCGGAGGAGGAAAAAUUGUCCCCCCCUGCCUGCGGCUGGGGAUGGGGAUGGGCGGCAUCACGGCACCAAACCUCCGCGUCCUGCCGCUCCGCCUCGGAGCCGGGAACAGCCGGGAGCAGCCCGCAGGAGCACAGCCGGGCAGAGCCCCCGCACCCGGCACCCCCGAAACGGCACCCCCUGACCCGGCACCUCCUAACCCAGCACCCCCUAACCCGGCACCCCCUGACCCGGUACCUCCUAACCCAGCACCCCCUAACCCGGCACCCCCUGACCCGGCACCCCUAACCCAGCACCCCCUGACCCGGCACCCCCUGACCCGGCACCCCCUGACCCGGCACCCCCCGCCAGGCAAUAGCUGGGGUGCUCCCGGUGCCGCUGCAUCAGCCCCGGGGUUUGCUGCCCUUACCCGAGGUCCCCCCCUCCCCGAGACAGCGGGGGACAGAACCGACUCACCCGCUCGGUUGUUUGUUUGUUUUCAACCUCAUUUUAAAACAAAGACGGGAAAGAUUUUGCCGGUGCCACCAUAA